CCCAUUCCUUUAUGGAAGUAAGACCCCUAAGAGAUGAUUAGGUAGAUAGGCUAGAAGUGGAAGUGCAGCAAUGUAUGGAGCGGACUAGUACUAAUUGGUCGAGGACUUAACCAAG
RNAcentral lists this ribosomal RNA (115 nucleotides) under Apilactobacillus micheneri. Its description in RNAcentral is "Lactobacillus micheneri partial 23S ribosomal RNA". It matches the Rfam family "Bacterial large subunit ribosomal RNA", at positions 2813 to 2925 of the family's 2925-position model. The record is from RNAcentral. Lineage: Bacteria; Bacillati; Bacillota; Bacilli; Lactobacillales; Lactobacillaceae.